GUCACAGCCCUUCAGAGCCUCAAGCUGGGGUCCCUAGGGUUUCUGGACCUCAGAUCACUGUGAGGCAGGAGGUCCUCCACCCUCCCUCCGGCAACUCUGAAGUAUGGGAAGUGGGCUGAUGCGCUGGAACGUCGAUGCAGCCAGUGAUGUGUUUGAUGAGAAUGUAUUGAGAGUAAAGCUGCCCAGAAUCCAAGUGUGUGUCAUCUGAACUCUUGAAUCAUGGAUGGAAGAUGGUGAACCGAAACUUACAGAGCUCAAGUCACUUGACCAGGCUCCACCCCUACAAGAGGCAGCACGCAAACUAAAAACCAGGCGGCCUUUUCCAAAGCUUGUGCUCUGCUCCACUGCUGGAAGGAACCCUUCGGGGAAUUGAAGCAGCACUGAACAAAGGCCAUUUUUAAGAAGCGACACCAGAAACCUAAGGCGGGGUCCCCGGCUCAACAAGGAUCUCAUGUUUUGUGGGUCAGAGAUUCUUGUGUCGUGUCUGGGUGAGGUCAAAAACCAUGCAGAGACUUUCACUUCCUGUUCUGUGGCAGACAAGACAUCUGAAAAGCUCUCCUGCAGCAACACUUCUAGAUGCCAAGUAAAUCACAGCAAGUGCACUUUUAAAUGUGUUACUAAGAUCAUAAAAAUGAAGGAAAAUGCCCAAGCAUAUCCCCAACCCCUCACCCCACAACCACCACCACCACAAUAAACAAGUUGCUGACAGUGGAUUGGCAA
RNAcentral lists this long non-coding RNA (720 nucleotides) under Homo sapiens (human). RNAcentral describes it as "uncharacterized LOC101927759 (LOC101927759)". The record is from RNAcentral. Lineage: Eukaryota; Metazoa; Chordata; Mammalia; Primates; Hominidae.